AUGCCAGUUCCCAUUGAUUUUGGGAGCAGCACAUAUAGAAACAAUUGCUAUACUUGAUCAUGACUACUUCCUAUGGCUCUGAAGGAUCUUUGCAAAUUGUCAUUUUGGACUCAGUUUGAAUACAGGCAAGCUCUCUGGGAAGUCAGAUCAUCACAGGGGGAUUGGUGGGCAUGGCAUCAGAAUUGAACUGGACUGUUUAAUGGCAUAGAAUUCUGAUAGAUGGAUUUAUCACUUGCUAACAUGGGGACCUAGCUCCCAUCAGCCUAAGAGCAGCUUCUCUAAGUGGUGCUUCGAGAGACCUUCCCAAAGUUUAUCUCUAUGACUUUUCUUUGUUUUUGUGGCAUAGUGUUUUCACAUUCAGCCACUGAUUUCUCAGAUAUUUGCCCACACAAAGACCCACUGGUCAGGAAUUGCUAUUCUUUAUAUCAAGAGUUUCCAACCAAGUUGAAAUAAGUGCAAAUCCUGAUGCUAAGAACCAAACUCAAGAACCGUUCAGCCUUCAUUAGAGCAAGUCUUGUUAUUUAGAAGUUAACCAGUCGGAAACUCAUUGCAUAGCGGCCUCUGAUGAAUGAACAUCAUCAUUCCAUUUACCCGAUCACGAAUGUGUCCUUUCCCAGAGGAGCUGGAGAGAAGAGGCUCAGCUCUGGGUUCAAGACAUGCCUGCCAAAGCACCACAUCAUAUCACCUAACCGAAGGCCCCUCCUUCUGCUUGUUUGUUGAAAUAACAGAUGGCAUCCUGAUCUAUGCCCUACCUGGACAAUGGAUAUGGGUCAUGGUGAGAAGGUACCCUUGA
Molecule: long non-coding RNA, 793 nt
Filed under: Canis lupus familiaris (dog)
Lineage: Eukaryota; Metazoa; Chordata; Mammalia; Carnivora; Canidae
Description: lncRNA (ENSCAFG00030009691.1)
Source: RNAcentral